GCCGGGUGUGGUGGCGCACGCCUGUAAUCCCAGCUACUUGGGAGGCUGAGGCAGGGGAAUCGCUUGAACCUGGGAGGCAGAGGUUGCAGUGAGCCGAGAUCACGCCACUGCACUCCAGCCUGGGCAACAGAGCGAGACUCCUUCUCAA
Pongo abelii (Sumatran orangutan) is the source of this 148-nucleotide unclassified non-coding RNA. It matches the Rfam family "Metazoan signal recognition particle RNA". Rfam says of the family: The signal recognition particle (SRP) is a universally conserved ribonucleoprotein. It is involved in the co-translational targeting of proteins to membranes. The eukaryotic SRP consists of a 300-nucleotide 7S RNA and six proteins: SRPs 72, 68, 54, 19, 14, and 9. The record is from Ensembl. NCBI's taxonomy places the organism in Eukaryota, Metazoa, Chordata, Mammalia, Primates, Hominidae.